Molecule: ribosomal RNA, 253 nt
Filed under: uncultured bacterium
Lineage: Bacteria
Description: partial 16S ribosomal RNA
Rfam family: Bacterial small subunit ribosomal RNA
Source: RNAcentral
UACGAAGGGUGCAAGCGUUACUCGGAAUUACUGGGCGUAAAGCGUGCGUAGGUGGUUUGUUAAGUCUGAUGUGAAAGCCCUGGGCUCAACCUGGGAAUGGCAUCGGAAACUGGCUUACUAGAGUGCGGUAGAGGGUAGUGGAAUUCCCGGUGUAGCAGUGAAAUGCGUAGAUAUCGGGAGGAACAUCUGUGGCGAAGGCGACUACCUGGACCAGCACUGACACUGAGGCACGAAAGCGUGGGGAGCAAACAGG